GGAAGUCGCGGCUGAGGGAGACUAGGGGGAGGUGGGUGCGCCUCAGGCCGCCGCCACUGCCGCCGCCGCCGCGUAAAGGGAGGAGGGAGAGGAAGGGGAGGAGUUGGGGCGACUGCAGUUGCUGCCUCUUGUCCCACCCCCGGCCUCGAAGAGGUGGCGGAGGCUGGAUGUUGAUGGUUGGGGUUCCUCCACCCUGGGGGAGGGAAAGGGGGAGGGGGAGACGCCGGGUGUGCAGACUGUAAGGACAGGAGCCUCUUCCCCCGCCCCGCUCCGCCGCGGGAGCGCGCGCGCACGUGUAGUGCGCGCACGCAGAUGCCUCGGCGGCCGGAGGUGAGAGCGAUCGGCUGGGUUUCGGAGCUCCGAGCCCCGGGGGGAUUCGCCCGCGUCUCAUCUGCCCGGAGAGGAGCACUAGGCCCAGCCGCUGCCACCCUCCCGGAGGGAUGAAAUUGGGUUUUCCCAAGUGGCACUGAGACCUGCUUCCAAAUUAGAUAUCCUGUGGCAGUAUAGCUUUGUGGGAGACUGGUGUUUAAUGGCCACAGAGGAAGUGGAGCUAUAGGAAAUCAGAAGUUUGCUCAGCCUAGGACACCUCAGCCAUUGAACUAAAGAACAGAGAGAAGUGGAGCAGAGUGCCAGUGUGGAGUGCUACACCAAGCAUAAAGGAAAGGACGCUAGAAUCUAGCUGGGACCAGUUCUGUACUCACUGAAGUCACUUGGUGUAGGGACUGAGGCUAGUGAAAAGUGAAUUCCCCAGUGUGGUGUGGGAAGAGGCAGAGACACCUCUGAGUUCCAACCUUCAGGGGAUCUGCCAUCAAAAGAAAAAGAAUCAGAAACUGAAUGAGAAGGGAGUAAAAGAAAAAAGACUGACGUUACAAAAGAUCCUAGAAGAAAAUUCUGUUUAUAAAGUUGAGUGUGCACAGGAAUAUCAACAGCUUCGCUGUUAAUAAUAGAAGGGAAGAUGGCAUCUAAAGAAACCCAGAAAUCUCUGAGUAAAUAUAACAAGACAAGGAAAAAUGAAGCAACACGUGAUGAGGCAGCAAAAAGUUUUGAUUCUCAAGAGAGUAUGGAAUCACAGCAGGAUGUUCCUGAGUGGUACAAGAGAGAAAUAAGAAUCUUCAAAGCAGAAUGUAUGGCCUAUACAGGAGAAAUAAUUGACAGAAUUGAAAAACUUGAAUCUGCCUUAGCAAAUCUCUCCAAAGAAGCAAAAGAGAAAAAGCUUUAAUUCUUUGAGGAACACAGAAUAAAGAAGAAAUAAAGAUGUCUAAAGACCAUGAAUGAAAGAAUAAAAGUUUAAAAUAGAAAAGAGAAUUGAUGAAGAUAACAAAGUUAAGAAAUCCUUUUUACAAGAAGACAAAAUAUUAAAAAACUAAUAAGUUAAAAGAGAGAAGAGGAAGGGAGGAUUUUAGCCAACUAAUGGAGAAAAAAAAGAAUCAAAUCAUGUAAAGGGAAGAAUGAAAAAAGAAUGAAUAAACUAAAAACUAAGGGAAAAAAUGAAAAACAGAGGGGGUGGGGAGAAUGGAAGAAUAUUUAUUUAUUUGUUUGUUUGUUUGUUUGUUUAUUUAUGUGUAGCAUUACUUUUUUUAUAUUUUGAGUUCCAGAUUCUCUCCCCCGCCUAUUGAGAAGGCAAGCAAUAUGAUAACCCAUUACACCUGUGAAAUCACUCAAAACAUUUCUGUAUUAGCUGGGGGGGCGGGGGGGCCAGGGUGGGGAAGGGGAGAGUGAAAAAUAAUGAAAAUGAAAAACUGCACUCAGUUCAUCAUCUGUCUCCAGAGGUAAAUAGCGUUUUUCAUCAUGAGUCCUUUGGAGUUACCUUGGAUCAUUGUAUUGAUCAGAGCAGCUAAGUCUUUCAUAGUUGACCAUCAUUACAGUAUUGCUGUUUGUAUGUAUAAUAUUCUGCUAGUUUUGCUCACUUCACUUUUUAUGAGUUUGCUUAUGUCUUCCCAGGUUUUUCUGAAACCAUCCUGUUCGUCAUUUCUUAUAGCAUGAUAGUAUUCUAUCACAAUCAUGUACCACAACUUGUUCAGCCAUUCCACAAUUAAUGGGCAUCCCCUAAAUUUCCAAAUCUUUGCCACCACAAAAAGAGCUGCUAUAAAUAUUUUUGUACAUAUGGGUCCUUUUCUUUUUUCCUUGAUCUCUGGGAUACAGACCAGUGGUAUUGUGAGGUCAAUGAGUAUGUCCUUUGGGCAUAGUUCUAAAUUGUUCUCCAAAAUGGCUGAACCAGUUCAAAACUCCACCAGCAAUGUAUUCAUACCCCUAUAUUUCCACAUCCUCUCCAGCAUUUAUAAUUUUCCUUUUCUGUCACAUCAGCCAAUCUGAUAAGUGAGGUGGUACUUUAGAAUUGUCUUAAUUUGCAUUUCUCUAAUCAGUAGUGAUUUAGAGCAUGUUUUCAUCUGAUUGAUAGCUUUGAUUUCUUCUGAAAAUUGCCUGUUCAUAUCCUUUGACUAUCAAUCAGGAAUGGAGGGAGGAAUUUAAGAGUGAAGAGAGGAAAACUUACAGAAAGAGGGUUUCCUUAAAAUAACUUAAACAAUGAUAUCUUUAAAGAGGAUGCCAGUUCAGAAAAAGAAAGCCAUAUUAGAGACAAGGAUAAAAAUAGAAACCUAACUCAUAACAUUACAUGUGAAUGGAUUAAAUAAUCCAAUAAAACAAAAGAGUUCCAAUUGAAUAAGAAAGCAGAACCCCAAAAUCUGUUGCUUAGCAGUUUGUUGAGAGUUUUUUUUCUCCCUCUUCAUUCUUUUUUGCUUUAAAAAAUAGUCUUUUUUAUAUGGAGGGACCCCUGUGAAAGGAGAGGGGUACUAGAAGAAAUCAGUCAAUGUAACAACAAAUUCAUCAAUAAAGAUUUUAAAAAGAAAGUGGUGUUGUGAUCAGGCAACACACAUUCUGUCAUCAGUAACUGU
Molecule: long non-coding RNA, 2891 nt
Organism: Trichosurus vulpecula (common brushtail)
Lineage: Eukaryota; Metazoa; Chordata; Mammalia; Diprotodontia; Phalangeridae
Exons: 2
Source: RefSeq, a predicted model, not a curated record